RNAcentral lists this ribosomal RNA (405 nucleotides) under uncultured bacterium. Its description in RNAcentral is "bacterial SSU rRNA". It matches the Rfam family "Bacterial small subunit ribosomal RNA", at positions 354 to 776 of the family's 1533-position model. The record is from RNAcentral.
GUGGGGAAUAUUGCACAAUGGGGGAAACCCUGAUGCAGCGACGCCGCGUGAGCGAAGAAGUAUUUCGGUAUGUAAAGCUCUAUCAGCAGGGAAGAUAAUGACGGUACCUGACUAAGAAGCCCCGGCUAACUACGUGCCAGCAGCCGCGGUAAUACGUAGGGGGCAAGCGUUAUCCGGAUUUACUGGGUGUAAAGGGAGCGUAGACGGCAAGGCAAGUCUGAUGUGAAAACCCAGGGCUUAACUCUGGGACUGCAUUGGAAACUGUCUGGCUCGAGUGCCGGAGAGGUAAGCGGAAUUCCUAGUGUAGCGGUGAAAUGCGUAGAUAUUAGGAAGAACACCAGUGGCGAAGGCGGCUUACUGGACGGUAACUGACGUUGAGGCUCGAAAGCGUGGGGAGCAAACAGG